CCCAGAGGCUCUGUGCUGCCACCAGGCCCUGCCAGGGAGACGGAGUGGCUCUGCUGCCCUCCCUCCAGCGAGACCACCGCGUUGCCCCAUGUGAUUCUUCUGGCCCUGCUGCUCUCCCUCCAGGCAGACCACCGCCUUGCCCCACGUGACUCUUUCUGCCGCCUCCCUGCUUCAGCCAGAGCCACGCCAUAGACAAGCACGUCUCCCGGUUGGCGGCCCGCUCGUUUCCUCCGGUGCAGUCGCCUCUGCUCUGACGCGCAGCGCGCCGUGGUCCUCGGCUCUCGCCACUGGCACUAGGGCCGUAGCCUCUCAAAGCUCCGGGUCAAGAACACCACGGACGCCAGGUUUGACCCGUAUAAAAGGUCUGGCCACGUGUGAAGAGAGCUGAACUGGACGAAUGCCCCAGAUAGAGUUCAAUCUGAAAAUGAGAAGCACUAGCCGCUGAGAUGCCCAGCAGUUCCUGCUCUUCCUAAUCGCUGUGUCCAGGUCAUUCUUUA
Molecule: long non-coding RNA, 497 nt
Organism: Cervus elaphus (red deer)
Lineage: Eukaryota; Metazoa; Chordata; Mammalia; Artiodactyla; Cervidae
Exons: 3
Source: RefSeq, a predicted model, not a curated record